UCGGGAAUUUUGGGCAAUGGGCGAAAGCCUGACCCAGCAACGCCGCGUGAAGGAUGAAAUCCCUCGGGAUGUAAACUUCGCAAGAAUGGGAAGCGGUACCAUUUGUAAGCUCCGGCUAACUCCGUGCCGGCAGCCGCGGUAAAACCGGUUACUCCUACGG
This 160-nucleotide ribosomal RNA is filed under the name uncultured bacterium. RNAcentral's name for it is "partial 16S ribosomal RNA". It matches the Rfam family "Bacterial small subunit ribosomal RNA", at positions 355 to 535 of the family's 1533-position model. The record is from RNAcentral.